UGGGGAAUAUUGGACAAUGGGGGGAACCCUGAUCCAGCCAUGCCGCGUGUGUGAAGAAGGCCUUAUGGUUGUAAAGCACUUUAAGCGAGGAGGAGGGUACUGGUAUUAAUACUACCAGCUACUGGACGUUACUCGCAGAAUAAGCACCGGCUAACUCUGUGCCAGCAGCCGCGGUAAUACAGAGGGUGCGAGCGUUAAUCGGAUUUACUGGGCGUAAAGCGUGCGUAGGCGGCUAAUUGAGUCGGAUGUGAAAUCCCCGAGCUUAACUUGGGAAUUGCAUUCGAUACUGGUUAGCUAGAGGGUGGGAGAGGAUGGUAGAAUUCCAGGUGUAGCGGUGAAAUGCGUAGAGAUCUGGAGGAAUACCGAUGGCGAAGGCAGCCAUCUGGCCUAACACUGACGCUGAGGUACGAAAGCAUGGUGAGCAAACAGG
RNAcentral lists this ribosomal RNA (430 nucleotides) under Pseudomonadota bacterium. RNAcentral describes it as "Proteobacteria bacterium partial 16S ribosomal RNA". It matches the Rfam family "Bacterial small subunit ribosomal RNA", at positions 355 to 776 of the family's 1533-position model. Lineage: Bacteria; Pseudomonadati; Pseudomonadota. The record is from RNAcentral.